CUCAAAUAGACAAAUUUCCUUGUGGAUUUUGCCCUUAACUCAGUUUUCAGAUUACUGAUCCUGGAAAUGCUGCACUUUUUAAUGUCUCAUAUGCUGCUAUCUUCAAAGCUGCCUCUAUGCAGAAGUAUUUUCUCUUAGGAACCUACCACAGAUCAGCCUCACCUUUGCAGACAUCAAGCAAAUGCAAAACUAACACCAAAGGUUACAUUUGGCAGUGACACUGGUAGGCCAGGGAAGUGAUACCUGAUGCAACAGCAAGAGACUGAACUCCCUUCAUUGCCGUCCUGUGUGGGGGGCUUUUUUCCAUACUGCAGGAGUAUCUCCAAAGGUUCUGCUUAGUGUGGUUUCUGUGACCCCUCUUUGCAAGAAGCUUUAAAUCUGCUGUCACCUGUCACAGAAAACACAGAAAUCAAACAGCUAAGGAGGACUAACAUUAAAAUGUC
Non-coding RNA from Lepisosteus oculatus (spotted gar), 443 nucleotides. The record is from RefSeq and is a predicted model, not a curated record. NCBI's taxonomy places the organism in Eukaryota, Metazoa, Chordata, Actinopteri, Semionotiformes, Lepisosteidae.